Molecule: ribosomal RNA, 497 nt
Filed under: uncultured bacterium
Lineage: Bacteria
Description: partial 16S ribosomal RNA
Rfam family: Bacterial small subunit ribosomal RNA
Source: RNAcentral
GAUGAACGCUGGCGGCGUGCCUAAUACAUGCAAGUCGAGCGAACAGAUGAGGAGCUUGCUCCUCUGACGUUAGCGGCGGACGGGUGAGUAACACGUGGAUAACCUACCUAUAAGACUGGGAUAACUUCGGGAAACCGGAGCUAAUACCGGAUAAUAUAUUGAACCGCAUGGUUCAAUAGUGAAAGACGGUUUUGCUGUCACUUAUAGAUGGAUCCGCGCCGCAUUAGCUAGUUGGUAAGGUAACGGCUUACCAAGGCAACGAUGCGUAGCCGACCUGAGAGGGUGAUCGGCCACACUGGAACUGAGACACGGUCCAGACUCCUACGGGAGGCAGCAGUAGGGAAUCUUACGGAAUGGGCGAAAGCCUGACGGAGCAACGCCGCGUGAGUGAUGAAGGUGUUCGGAUUGUAAAACUCUGUUAUUAGGGAAGAACAAAUGUGUAAGUAACUAUGCACGUCUUGACGGUACCUAAUCAGAAAGCCACGGCUAACUACGUG